GACGUUCGUUGGCGUCUUGCUUAACACAUGCAAGUCGAACGGAAAGGCCCUUCUUUUGUGGGGUGCUCGAGUGGCGAACGGGUGAGUAACACGUUAGUAACCUGCCCUUUACUUUGGGAUAACUUCAGUAAACUGUGUCUAAUACCGGUUAGGAGCUCCUGCUGUAUUGUGGGGGUUUGAAAGUUUCGGCUGUUGGGGAUGUAUUCGCGUCUUAUCAGCUUGCUGGUGGGGUAGUGGCUUACCAAGGAUUUUACGGGUAGCCGGCAUGAGAGGGUGACGGGCAACAUAGGGAUUGAGAUAAGGACCAGAAUCAUACGGAAGGAAGAAGUGGGGAAAAUUGCAAGAUGGGCGGAAGAAGGGAGCAGCAACGCCGCGAGCGGGAUGAAGGCCUUCGGGUAGGAAACCGAGUUCGCAGGUGACGAAGCGUGAGUGAAGGUAAUGGGUAAAGAAGCAACGGCUAACUACGCG
Molecule: ribosomal RNA, 468 nt
Filed under: uncultured bacterium
Lineage: Bacteria
Description: partial 16S ribosomal RNA
Rfam family: Bacterial small subunit ribosomal RNA
Source: RNAcentral